Molecule: non-coding RNA, 213 nt
Organism: Biomphalaria pfeifferi
Lineage: Eukaryota; Metazoa; Mollusca; Gastropoda; Planorbidae
Source: the annotation of a GenBank genome assembly
CUUAUCAAUUUCUGUAAUGUGCUCAACGGUCAACGGAUACACAAAAGGCAAGCUAUUUAUAGUUAAUACGUAAUGCUUGAAGACUGUCAUCAUUUGAUAAACAUUGACUAUAGGUAAUACUCCUGAUAUAACUAUGUUUUUAAUAGCUUUGAUAAAACAGUUUUUAACAUUGAAGCAGUGUUAUUUCAUUAAAUUGUAUAUUAUUGCAAAAGA